AGUGAACGCUGGCGGUAGGCCUAACACAUGCAAGUCGAACGGCAGCACAGUAAGAGCUUGCUCUUACGGUUGGCGAGUGGCGGACGGGUGAGGAAUACAUCGCAAUCUACUUUUUCGUGGGGGAUAACGUAGGGAAACUUACGCUAAUACCGCAUACGUCCUACGGGUGAAAGCAGGGGAUCUUCGGACUUUGCGCGAAUGAAUGAGCCGAUGUCGGAUUAGCUAGUUGGCGGGGUAACGGCCGACCAAGGCGACGAUCCGUAGCUGGUCUGAGAGGAUGAUCGGCCACACUGGAACUGAGACACGGUCCAGACUCCUACGGGAGGCAGCAGUGGGGAAUAUUGGGCAAUGGGCGCAAGCCUGACCCAGCAAUACCGCGUGAGUGAAGAAGGCCUUCGGAUUGUAAAGCCCUUUUGUUGGGAAAGAAAAGCUGCAGAUUAAUACCCCGCUGUUCUGACGGUACCCAAAGAAUAAGCACCGGCUAACUUCGUG
This 492-nucleotide ribosomal RNA is filed under the name uncultured bacterium. RNAcentral describes it as "partial 16S ribosomal RNA". It matches the Rfam family "Bacterial small subunit ribosomal RNA", at positions 29 to 507 of the family's 1533-position model. The record is from RNAcentral.